RNAcentral lists this long non-coding RNA (1935 nucleotides) under Suricata suricatta (meerkat). Its description in RNAcentral is "lncRNA (ENSSSUG00005017772.1)". The record is from RNAcentral. Lineage: Eukaryota; Metazoa; Chordata; Mammalia; Carnivora; Herpestidae.
UCUCUCCCUGACCCCCAUUGUCUCAUGGUCCUGAUUUCAGUUAAUGGGUCAUAGGCAUAUAAUAUUGUCACCUUAUGAAAUGUACACAAAAGUAUAGACAUUUUAAAAGACAAUUAAAAUUUCUCCAGCAUCCCAGGACACACCAUACUUUGGAGAAUACUACCCUAGAUGAUAAAACAAUCUCCUUAAAACCAGUUUUCAAGGCCCUCGAUAAUCUUCCUGGCCAACUUCAUUGACACAUCACAUUCCGGACUGCUUAUCUCUCCAGGGCCAUGCUCUAGUUUUUCUCAGCUUUGCGCUUUGCUCUCCCUUCAGCCUGAUGUUCUCACCCCUUCUCCGCUUUGUCUAGCUGGAUCCCAUUUUAUCCAGAAGUUCUACACCCUCCUACCCAUCUUUUCCUUCCCUACCAGGUUUAUAAAGACAGAGAUAUUUUUACAGUGAAAACUGAGGCAGCUGUCCUCUUACUCAAAUGAUCAAACUUAGCAUCACCAACAAUGGAGCAAACUGAUAAUGUACCCUUCUAAUCUUAAUGAUAGCUUGUCAUUUCCUGAUACGUGCCCUUACAUCCCACUGAUGUCUUGCACAUGGCUGUCAUAUUCAGCUAUAUUAAAACUAUAUUAUUUGGGAACCUGGAAGAUUACUUAUGUAAUCUUUCUCCUUACUCCCAUAUUUCCCCCUGUGGCUAUUUUAUUAUUACUUUAAACUCUACCCAAGGGACAAAAGGUGGCAGAAGUGAAGUAAGUGUUGGGUCCUUUUUCCUAUUGGAUUUGAUUAAAAUUUAGAGAAGCAAAGAUAGAAAUUUAAUUGUGAAAAUGACAUUUCGAAUCAUCUGUGUUUUAAUCAUUCUAUUCUUGUUCUUGGUGACAAAAUUUAUACUGAUUAACGAUUAAUUUAGGCAAUCUCUUUGCUUGAUCUUUUGUACCAUCUUCUCAUCCAAAGUUUUUAUUUUUUCAUAUGUUAUAGAUCACUUUACUUCCUAAUAUCCCUGUGCAACAGAUAAAACAGAAGGAAUCCCUACUUAAUAGGCAAUCAAGUUCGUUAAAAGUGUGACUAGGACACAGCUUUCAAAUUUGAAUGUCUUUAGGGCCCAGUGAAACAGUGUGAGGAGGAGUGGUGAGGGCAGCAGUGUGCUUGCUCCACCUGAAGGUAUUCAAAUAUAGUUUUAAAAGAUUGCAUCAGCCAGUGCAAGCUGGCGGUGGCUUCUUUACAACCUCUGGACAAGAUUCUAUCUUGUUCAGGGCUCUUUUUACCACAUUUUUACUUAGAAAUAAGUGCAUUUGUGGAAAAGACAAUAGGAAACUCUCUUUUGUCAAAAUUAUAUUAUCCUACAUGCUGAUGCUAAAUUGCAUACUUGUUACUGUCAAAUUCUCUUACUUGAUGUGCAUGAUGGGAUAAUAAGCUCUUUAUGUUCUAUGUUAAAUGGUGCUUGAAUAUUCUUAUUUACAGUCUGUUUUAAAAUACACUCUUAGUAUUGACACUGCCGAACUGACGUUGUAACAUUUAUCAAAUAAGAACAAAAAUAAGCUUAGAAGUAGAGAGGUACCUGAGGUGCCUGGGUGGCUCAGCCGGUUUUGCGGUUAUGCGUCUGACUUUGGCUUAGUUUGUGAUCUCACAGUUGGUGACCUCAAGCGCUGCCUCAGGCAGAGCCUGCUUAGGAUCCUGUCUUCCUCCCUAUCUGCCCCCCGCCCCACCCCCCGCUUGCACACAUGUGCAUGUGCUCUCUCUAUCCAAACUAAAAAAGAAUAGAGAGGGGUGCCUGGGUGGCUCAGUUGGUUAAGCGUCUGACUGGCUCAGGUCAUGAUGGUUCCUGGGGUUUGAGCCCUGCAUUGGGCUCUGUGCUGACAGCCUAGAGCCUGGAGCCUGCUUCAUGUUGUGUCUCCCUCUUUCUCUGCCCCUCCCCCGCUCACACUCUGUCUCUCUCUCUCUAAAAAAUAA